This 1154-nucleotide long non-coding RNA is filed under the name Cairina moschata (Muscovy duck). RNAcentral describes it as "domestica (muscovy Duck (domestic type)) lncRNA (ENSCMMG00000006666.1)". The record is from RNAcentral. Lineage: Eukaryota; Metazoa; Chordata; Aves; Anseriformes; Anatidae.
UGCUCGGGGUCCCGAGCAACCGAGGCGAGCUCGCCCGCGCCCCCGGCCCUAUUUGGGGCUCAGAGGAGGGGGCAAAAAAGAGCGAGGGGCAGGAGAAAAAGUUGCAUCCAGUCCGGGAGCCUGGCAGGGGCACUACCUCGAGGAAAAGCCGGGGCAAACUGGCGAAGGGUCCUCCCACCGCCGGCGAGCCAGAAGGAGCCGGGUCCUGCUUGGAGAGGCGGCCGGAGCGCAUCGGCGGGGCGGCGGCGGCUCCGUGUCCGCCGGGGGAAAAAGGGUUUGGGAAAAGGGGUGGCGGAGCUCCGCGGAGGGGCUGAGCCUUUGGGGUGGAAGCUUUUUGAGGGCUCGCUCCUCGGGGAUGCUCCCGGGGGGUGAUCCUAGAGGGCGAUCCUUGCGGGCGCUCCUUGGGGGUGCUCCUUGGGGAUGCUCCUUGGGGGAUGCUCCUUAUGGGGUCGCCGGAGCUCCCGGCAGCUCAGCGGGGAACGGGAAGGAGACGGAGGCGCCUCGCUGGCUCCGGGCGCUGCCCGAGGGCCCGGGUGGGGCCGCUAUGGGGUGGGUUGGGGCUGGGGACGGGGCUGGGGCUGGGGUUGGGGUUGGGGCUGGGGCUGGGGACGGGCCCGGCCCCGCCGCGCUCGGCAGCGGCCGCCGCAGCGCCCCGGAGGGGAGCGGGGGCGCCCUCUGGGGGCCGCCCGGGGAAGGGCUGAGGGAGUUAUGGGGGGGUUAUGGGGUGGCUUUGGGGUUUGCAGGGUUAGGGGGGGAGUUAGGGGGUGUGGGGGGUUAGGGGGGUGCGUUUGGGGUUUGGGAAAGGGGCUGCGUUAAGGGCCUGGGGAGGGGGCUGGGGUUGGGGGCUAGCUUAGGGGGCUGGGUUAGGGGCCUGGCUUUAGGAUCAGGGUUUAGGGUCUCGGUUAACGGUCUGGGUUAGGGGUCUGGGUUUAGGGUCUGGGUUAGGGGUCUGGCUUUAGGAUCUGGGUUAGGGGUCUGGCUUUAGGAUCUGGGUUAGGGGUCUGGCUUUAGGGUCUGGGUUAGGGGUCUGGCUUUAGGAUCCAGGUUAGGGGUCUGGGUUUAGGAUCUCAGUUAGGGGUCUGGCUUUAGGGUUUGGGUUAGGGGUCUGGGCUUAGGGUCUGUGUUUAGGAUCUCAGUUAGGGGUCUGGGUUUAG